AAAAAUUUGAGAGUUGGUUUGAGAAUCAAACAAACAAAAGUAUGAAAAUGCAAUGGUAUAUACAGAUGAAGGUUUGGAGUGGUACCUUACUGAAAAUAGCAAUCCAGGUAUUGAGUCAUGGACUCGCUUGUAUAAGCACCUGGUGCAGGCGGGACAGGAGGAGCCUCUGCUGGUUGCUCAACGUUCUGCUCGACAGGAUCCGCAGUGAGGUCUUGGAAAUGAUACGCACCUGGAUCAACAGUCAGGUCCUCAAUGUGAUCCUCAGCUUGAUCCAUGGUCAGAUCCUCAACAUGAUGCUCCUCUGACAAGUGUGAUGAACUGGCUUUUGCCUUCCGUCUCGCUGCCUUCUUCUUUUUCCUUUUCUCCUACUUCUUGCUAGCCCUAAGCUCAGGGGAGGACUGUCUUAGAGGAGAAGAAGAAACAUUAUGCUCUCUAUACUCAUAAGCGGAAUGACGUGAUGGAGAAGGAGUUCUGUAGCGUGCUGGGACAUCACUCGUGGACAAACGACGCUGCACUGGUCUAGCAUCCUGCGGAGUAGUGUCUGCAAAAGCUGUGGUGGUGGAGGCGCAGCUAAACUUACUCAUGAAGCUCUUCA
RNAcentral lists this long non-coding RNA (595 nucleotides) under Capsella rubella. Its description in RNAcentral is "long non-coding RNA (CRUB_LNC004221)". The record is from RNAcentral. Lineage: Eukaryota; Viridiplantae; Streptophyta; Magnoliopsida; Brassicales; Brassicaceae.